Molecule: long non-coding RNA, 5567 nt
Filed under: Homo sapiens (human)
Lineage: Eukaryota; Metazoa; Chordata; Mammalia; Primates; Hominidae
Description: HSALNT0056962
Source: RNAcentral
CCUACCUUUAAACACGGGACUUGUAACUCAGCUCACACCCAACCAAUCAGGUAGUAAAGAGGGCUCACUAAAAAUACAAAUUAGGCUAAAAUCAGGAGGUAAAGAAAUAGUCAAAUCAUAUAUCGCCUGAGAACACAGAGGGAGGGAAAAUGAUUUCGAUAUAAACCCCAGGCAUUUGGGCCGGGAGUGGGCAACCGCCUUUGGGUCCCCUCCCAUUAUAUGGGAGCUCUGUUUUCACUCUAUUAAAUCUUGCAACUGCACACUCUUCUGGUCCGUGUUUGUUAUGGCUGCAGCUGAGCUUUUGCUCGCCGUCCACCCCUGCUGAACGCCACUGUUGCAGAUCCGCUGCUGGCUUCCACCCUUCUGGAUCCGGCAGGGUGUCCGCUGCGCUCCUGAUCCAGUGAGGCGCCCACUGCUGCUCCCUAUGGGACUAAAGGCUCACCAUUGUUUCUGCACGGCUGAGUGCCUGGGUUAGUCCUAAUCGAGCUGAACACUAGUCGCUGGGUUCCACGGUUCUCUUCCGUGACCCACGGCUUCUAAUAGAGCUAUAACACUCACUGCAUGGCCCAGGGUUCCAUUCUUUGGAAUCCAUGAGGCCAAGAACCCCAGGUCAGAGAACAAAAGGCUUGCUGCCAUCUUGGGAGUGGCCGCCACCAUCUUGGGAGCUCUAAGAACAAAGACCCACCGGUAACAAAAUGAUAGCAUUAACCUUAGAAAUAUAUUAGAAGCAAGAGCUUCGCAAGAUGUCUUUUUAAAGAUGUCAACUCUCAGCCAUGUGACUUUCCUCUUAUCAUCAUCUUGUAGUGGACGACACUUUUCCCUUCUGUCUCUAACUCCCAGAUAGUCACCGACACCAUCACUCAAGACAUCUUCUUCCCAGCCCUGAAGUGCUGAUGACCCACUUUUAUCCUGUGAAACUGAUAAAGGCAAUUCUUAAGCCUUCAAAUAUCUCAGGAUUCUCAGUUCAUACACUUGCAUUGCUCUAUGCUAUAAAACAAUUUACCUGGUAGAGUGGUACUUUUGAAUUCAAUUAUUUGUAAUCAAAGGUUUGGAUCUAGAUUGAUUUACACAAGUAUUUCCAAGGAGUAUGGGAAAGUUUUGACAGAUGUCAGAGACAUUGCUUUUGAAAGACCCUUAAAAUGGCUAUGGGGACAGUUAGGGGUGUGGAAUAAUUGGCACAUUAUUGCCACAGUUAAUGGUAGAAUCCAGUCAUAAACAAGAGGUCUGGGAUUGUGGGGAAAAGAGAUUAUUAUACCACAUUUGCACACCCAAAACAUAUUCAAGUGGGAAGUGCAGCAACAAGACUGUAAACACACAGCUCAGUGCCCUUCCUGAACACUUGAACUGAGUUCCAUGAAAAGCAAGAAUUACCUUUUAAUCAUACAACUUAUGAGGUUGAAAAAGAUGGUCUUAAUAAAUGUGUCAGUUUAAAGCAGUCCUAUUGUCUUGUUAAUCUAUUUUAUUUUGGAACUAAUAGAGAUCUAUAAUUUUAAAAAAGCAUCAUGAAAUAAUAAGCAUGAGAUGUCUUACUUUGAUAACUAGAUUGUUGCGUGUUAUUAUAUUAAAUGUUUUAUUGGCUUCUUCAAUAUUAGACAUUCCUGGGUACAAUGAACACUGAUCAGGCCAGUAUUUAAAUUCAAUUUAUAUACAUGAUACUCAAUUCUUGUAUAAUAAUUUGUAUCUGUGUUUAGUGGUUUAUAAUUUUUGUUGUUGCAUUUUCCUUACAAGGUUAUGGGAAGAAAACUAUGUCUGUGGUUGCCUUUAAAAAAAAAAAAGAACAAAGUUGGUAAACCUAUUCUUCUCUAUUUUUUGAAAAAGUUACAACAUUCAAAAGUGGUGAUGCUAAUUAAAACAAAGGCAUUUGUAGCUGCAAGUCAUGAACCAAUGGUACUUCUCCAAUUCCUCAUUUGGUUACAUCAUUUAAAAAAAAUGUCCUUCAGGGGCUGGGCACUGUGACUCACCCUUGUAAUCCCAGAACUUUGGGAGGCUGAGGCUGGCGGAUCACCUGAGGUCAGGAGUUUGAGAACAGCCUGGCCAAUACGGUGAAACCCAGUCUCUACUAAAAAUGUAAAAGGUUAGCAGGGCAUGGUGGCAGGUGCCUGUAAUCCCAGCUACGCAGAGGCUGAGGCAGAAGAAUCGCUUGAACCCUGAAGGCAGAGGUUGCAAUGAACUGAGAUCGCACCACUGCACUCCAGCCUGGGUGACAGAUCGAGACUCUGUCUCAGAUAAAUAAAUAUAAAAAAUGUCCUUUGGUUAUUACAUUUUCCAGAGACUUCCUCCUUAACUUCUGUUUUAUAAUGACUACCUUUGUAUCUCCUUUCCUACUACCAAUGUUUAAUUUUAUCAUAACAUUUAUCAAGUUUUGGGCUCUUGUAGAACAGAGGUCUUGUUUUAUUUUUCUCUGAAUUAUUUGUGCUUUUCAUGAUUCCUGGUGUAUGAUGAAUCUUGCAUAAAUAUGUGUUUAAUGAAGAAUUACUUGGCCUCUGUCCUCAGUACAUUGAACAUUGGAAAUGAAAACGCACGCACUUGGCGCACACAGACAAACACUUACCCCAUGCAUGCUUCCACAACUCAGGUAAAGAGAGCACCACUGAGGAAUCUUCACCUUGAUUUAAGCUACUGCUAGCCUGCCAAGCUAAGUCAAUAGCACAUAUGCUUCCUGGUCACAUAGUCUAAACUAAUAGCUUUCAAAUGCCUGUUGUCUUCUAUUUUAUAAUUUUUAAACUUUUUGUUUCUCAUUUUUAAAAUUUUUAUUUAUGUAUUUAUUUUAUUUCAUUGUUUAAUUUUUUUGUGGGUAAUAGUAGGUGUAUAUGUUUAUGGGGUACAUGAGAUGUUUUGAUACAGGUGUGCAAUGUGAAAUAAGCACAUCAUGGAGAAUGGGGUAUCCAUCCCUUCAAGCAUUUAUCCUUUGAGUUACAAACAAUCCAAUUACAUUUUUAAACAAAUGCCAAACAGGCAUAUGAAAAAGUGCUCAACAUCACCGAUCAUCAGAGAAAUGAAAAUCAAAACUAUGAGAUAUCAUCUCAUCCCAGUUAAAAUGGCUUAUAUCCAAAAGACAUGGCAAUAACAAAUGCUGGUGAGGAUGUGAAAAAGGGAACCCUUGUACACUGUUGUGGGAAUGUAAAUUAGUAAAACCACUAUGGAGGAGAUUCCUCAAAAUCGAAACAUUUUAUUUUUUUGAGUCUGGGUUUCAUUCUGUCACCUAGGCUAGAGUGCAAUAUUCUGAUCAUAGCUUACUGCAACAUUGUACUCCUGGGCUCAAGCUAACCGCCUCCCUCAGCCUCCCAAGUCACUAGAUUACAGGUGUGCAUCACUAUGCCUAGCAAAUUUUUUUAAUUUUUUGUACAGACGGGGUCUUGCUCUGUUGCCCAAGCUGGUCUUGAACUCCUGACCUCAAACAUUCCCCCGGCUUCAGCCUUCAAAAGUGCUGAGAUUACAGACCUGAGACAUCACAACUGGCCUACUUCUUAAGGCUAAAAUCUCCUGUACAUUUUUUUUCCCCACAGGAAGUGCUUUUUAUAUGCCCAAUGAAUAUUUAUGGUUAAUUAAUUAAUUUUAAAAGAUGUUAAUUCAAGUUACUAAUAUAACAGUGUACUGUUUAAAUUUUUAUUUGCUAAAUAGUUCGCAAAGUGUACAAUACAGCUUAAAUUUUAACAAACACUUCAAAAUAUAAAACCUUUAAGUCAUCUUUGAUCUUUUAUUCUCCAUCUCCUUCCCCCCACCUCCUUUGCUACAUCUUACCAACCACUUCCAAUCAAUAUAACAAUUUGAAUUCUGAAAUGCUUCUUGAUAGUAUAAUUUAUCAUUCAUUUCUGGAAUAUCUACUAUAUUUAACACAUUGGUUACAUUUGGGGGGAAAUUUCCCUCCUUUGUUUGCUGUCUUUAUCAGGUAGAAGUAAAAAUAUUCAGCUUUCCUCACCUUCUUUGUAUUCAGGACCUUGUCUAUAACAAAUAAAUAGACUUGAGGGUCUGAUUAAAAACUAAGCAAACUGAGUUAGGAGGCCCAUAUAGAAUUCUUUGUAUUGGUUAUGAGUGAUAGCAGAAGUGCUUGGUAAUAAUUGGAAGGUCAAGAUCCUAAUAACAACAACAAACCAACAAAACAAAACAAAAUUAAGGUCAAUAUACUGGCAAACAGGUAGUGGCGGCAUUACACUUGAAUCUGGCAAGAAUGCUUGCUGUAUACCACCUACCGCUUGGUGGAUAUAGUGGGAGAGGUGUGUUUUGUAAUCAAGUAGCCUAGCUUUAAAAUGCAAUUUAAAACUUUGUUUCCUCUCAACUCAGAAUGUAGCCUUGAAAUGUACUUUAAAACUGUGUUUCUCUUCCUUUCCUACCAGACACUCCCUUGUGCCAUGCAUGCUUAUCUGACUAUGUGCAUCCUUAGAAAUUCCAAGGGCUAAUUUUGAAAUAAACCAGGCACGGAGGCUCAGGUGUGGAAUCCUCUCGCUUAAGGGGAGUCAGAAACAAUUAGGUGACCACCACUAUGCUAAGGUCAAGAUGAUGCCAACCAGACCUCCAGAUGUGUAAUUACUCAAGUUAGCCAUUGGAAGAAGACACACAGUCUCUGCACCCUGAAACACUCAUGUAUGUUUCUCACAUCAAGUUUCCCUUUUAAACACCAUCACUCAGCCCAAAAAUUUGAAAUGGUUUUGUAGAAGCAUGAGCCUGGCCAUUCCUCAACUGCCAGCCUUUGAUUAAUAAGCUGCUUUCCUUCCACCACACCUAGUUUCUUAUGUAUUCAGCUUCUCAGAUGGCGAGCAGCUGGACUUGUGUUUGGCUACAUUUUCUUAUCAAGUUAAUUUGGUAGCCAGGUUUGUAGCAUUGUUACCAGAACCCCAGCUGGGAACCUGUGAACAGUUAUCUAGCUUUCUCUGUAGUUCUUUGAACUACUUAAUAUUCUUUUAAUAAUCUCAUGUUCUGCUUAAGCUGCCAGUCAGCUUUUGUACUUGCAAUAUUGAACACAUACUAAGAGCUCCUAAUACAAUCAUUUUUCCCCUCUCUGCUAAUGAUCAGGUCCUUAUUACUCUUAAUUAUCUUCUGACUGAUCUUCUCUCAAUGAUCGUCCUGUUCUGCAAUAAAUCAUAUCAGCAAAUUUUCUAAAUAUGAAACUUAUGCUAAUGUUUUUUGAUUUAAGAUAUCUGUUACAAUUACAGUAUGAUAUAGCUGACCUAUUUUAAUCACUUCACUAAAACAAUCUUUUUUUUCUUGUAUUUGUUGUGAAAAUCAACUUGGAACAAAUAUUGUUGGUCUUUUGGUUGUAAAAACAUGCAGGCAAUAAAAGAUUAAUGUUAAAAAAACAAUAAUUGAGAGUUCUUUUUUUUUACAGUGGAUCUCUUUUCAAAACAAAAGUAGACAGGGAGAAACUUGGGGAAUUUGGUCUGGCAUGAUCAAGGGCUCAGCCCUCCAUCUUCUGGAUUUAAAACCUGACCUUGUCUUUGUGUCACAAUUUAUUAAAAUGAUGAAUGCCAAAAUAGAAAAAGAUGGCAAGAGACUGAUCUUAAAAAGCAGAAUGCUAAUUUCUUAGUUUAAAUGAGAAAUAUAAGUGCCAAGGGAAGAAAAAAUAGCUGUGG